This is a non-coding RNA of Taeniopygia guttata (zebra finch), 1854 nucleotides long. NCBI's taxonomy places the organism in Eukaryota, Metazoa, Chordata, Aves, Passeriformes, Estrildidae. The record is from RefSeq and is a predicted model, not a curated record.
CCGGGACUGGGAUCCGGGCCCGGGGAUUUGGGCCCCGGUCCCGCCGGUGGCUGCUGUGGGAGCCGGGCAGAGCCGCUCCUUCCUCGGCGGGCGGGGUGGGGGUGCCGGGGCCGGAGGAUCGAGGCGGGAUCGGGGCUGGGAUCGGGACCGGCAGCGCCGCUCGGCCGGGGCCGCCGCUCCCGCUCCGGCUGCGCCCGGUGCGGGGCUGCAGGAGCCCGGAGCCCCCGGAGGGCAGAGAGCACCUCCGGUCCUUGGCUCGGCAGGGCAGGAGCUGCCGUGCCCGGCCCGUGGCUCGCAGCGUGCCCAACGCACGGCCCGGCACGGGCACCGGGGCACCAGACACGGCUGAAGGGCUGCCCGUGGCUCCUCGGCCAGGGGCUGCUCCCCACAGGCACGCAGGGAUGCUUCAGCCCGGACAGACGGCACCGACAGCCCCGAGGGACCCCAAGGUGCAGCUGGCAUUACCUGGGAAUGGAGAUACAGAUGCUUGCAGAGCAGCUCAGACAGCAAUUCCUGGUUCUGAUCUCCCCGAGCUCCCACGCAGCUGCCAGAUACUAAAUGCCAAGCCAUAGCCUCGGAGAUGCCUUAAAAUCAGAGGUUCGAGUGGGAUGAUGUCUGGAGAUUUCCAGGGAGCCAGUUGGAGGUGCAGAAGUGAUGGAAAACUCUCACAGGAGCCAAAGCAGAUCCCUCCUGCCUGGGCUGGUGGGCAGCUGCUGGAUCUGCUCUGGGGGAAAACUCCCUGCCCCUGCCAGGAGUGCUGACUCUGCUUUUCCUCCAGCUCCUGAGCAGUGUCAGGGCCACCGGGAGGGGGUUCAAACCCAAAAAGUCCCCACAGCCCCCAGAGUGAAUGAUCCCAGCAGAGAAAUGCAGCACUGAAAUGAAAAACUUGCAGCUCUGUUAAAAAGGCUGUGACAACACUGUAAUGGGAUUCCCAGGAACCUUCUGGAUUGCUCUUGGUUCUGCUUUUAUGUAUUUUUAGUCCCUCAACGGGCAGCUUGUAGAAUUUAUUCUGGGACUUAGAGGUUGAGCAGGGUGGGCUCUGGACUGACCUUCGCCUCUGGUGCCACUUUGUGCGAACACAACUUGGCCAGGCUGGGUGAACUCAUGGCCUCAGCUUUCCCCUCCAAAUGUCCCUCCCUUAUUUCCCUGUGGCUGAGCUGGGAUUUGGUCCCAGACUGUCACUCCUCACCUCCCCGUGCCCCCACAGUGUCCCUUCUGUUCCCCACAGAGCCCUGGGGACACCAGGGGGUCCCUUUGCCUUCUCCCGCCCCUUUCCAGCCCGAGGCUCCUCUGCCCUUGUCCCACACAGCACAGGGGCACAAAAGGGGAAAGGCUCCAGAAAACAUUUCUGCAAUUAACCAGCAAUUAUUUCAAUUCCCCAGUGAGAAGAACAUGAACUCACAGCCACCGAGGCCUGAGGGGUUCCUGCAGUGAGAGCUCAGCGCGUGUCCCCAGAGAUAGAUAUUAUGUAAACCUUCUGUCAAACUCUGACAAUUUUCUACAAGUCCAUUUCCCACAGCAGAACUGCUCCCUGCCCAGCACAGGAGCUGCAAGUGCUGUUGCAGGGCACAAUGUCUGAAGGAACACUGGAGCUGUGACAUUACAGCCAGCAAAAACAAUUACUAAGUAAAAGAGAUCCUCACCUGCUCCAAGAACUGAAUCUCUGUGGCUCAUCCUCACGGGGUGACCCUGCUCCAGGGAGGAAUCUCCACACAGCCCCGAGACCUGGGGUCAGACGCCGCCCUACCAGCAGAAGAACAAGGGGUUAAUGAAGCUUUUUGGACACAUUCUGUCCUCAGAGUGGUUUGACAAAACAUCGUCAAUGUGAUCUUUAAUAAAGACAGCUUGCACCCA